CCUACGGGUGGCAGCAGUGGGGAAUAUUGGACAAUGGGGGGAACCCUGAUCCAGCCAUGCCGCGUGUGUGAAGAAGGCCCUCGGGUUGUAAAGCACUUUCAGUGAGGAAGAACGCCUGGUGGUUAAUACCCAUCAGGAAAGACAUCACUCACAGAAGAAGCACCGGCUAACUCCGUGCCUGCAGCCGCGGUAAUACGGAGGGUGCGAGCGUUAAUCGGAAUUACUGGGCGUAAAGCGCGCGUAGGUGGCUUGAUAAGCCGGUUGUGAAAGCCCCGGGCUCAACCUGGGAACGGCAUCCGGAACUGUCAAGCUAGAGUGCAGGAGAGGAAGGUAGAAUUCCCGGUGUAGCGGUGAAAUGCGUAGAGAUCGGGAGGAAUACCAGUGGCGAAGGCGGCCUUCUGGACUGACACUGACACUGAGGUGCGAAAGCGUGGGUAGCAAACAGGAUUAGAUACCCCUGUAGUC
This 465-nucleotide ribosomal RNA is filed under the name Vreelandella stevensii. RNAcentral's name for it is "partial 16S ribosomal RNA". It matches the Rfam family "Bacterial small subunit ribosomal RNA", at positions 338 to 795 of the family's 1533-position model. The record is from RNAcentral. Lineage: Bacteria; Pseudomonadati; Pseudomonadota; Gammaproteobacteria; Oceanospirillales; Halomonadaceae.